AUGUCAAAAGCUUAGGGUGGCGCAGUAUUCUAGUCGAUCCCCCUCUCCUGAAGGCGGGCCUAAAAAUCCGUCAAAGGGCACAUCGAUGAAGUUCCUGGUGUUGGCUUGAGGCGCCCAGCCUUGGGUUGAUACUGGGAGUUAAGGUUGUAGGGCGAUCCGCAAUGGCAUGCGGGCGUAGACCCUACUUCCGCGGAGGCCCAUGAUUUGUGGUUUGACGUCCUCGUGCGGAUGGCUACAACAUGGGGUAUGAACCUGCAUGGCGAGUGAGAUGCGAAUAAAGAACGACACCGACACUUGUGUGCAGCGUAGCCUGCCUUGAGUGAUCUGGAGGGAUUGCAGGGUUCAGGAGAAUGGUUUCGGCCAAAACGAUUCUCCGGUGCUGCAUGAAAUCCAUGUUGCAAAAGAGGCUAGGGAGAUGUGAGGGGUUGCCGAGGAAAACUCCUAGACUGUCGCGAAUUGCGUGGCUUCUCGGGGAUUAUAGUGUGGACUAAGUGGUAAUCGAGUCCGGUGCAUGGCAACAUCACCGAGACGGACAUAAAGGGAAACCGCCGUCAUGGCGACGUGACGGUGUCUGUCUGGGAAAACCUACUCGACCUAAGCCACAGAGUUUACUCGAGAAGUUGCCACCCUCUACAUACUAUUU
This 643-nucleotide small RNA is filed under the name Effusibacillus lacus. The record is from RNAcentral. Lineage: Bacteria; Bacillati; Bacillota; Bacilli; Caryophanales; Alicyclobacillaceae.